GUGCCAAGCAGCCGCGGUAAAACCAGCACCUCAAGUGGUCAGGAUGAUUAUUGGGCCUAAAGCAUCCGUAGCCGGCUCUGUAAGUUUUCGGUUAAAUCUGUACGCUCAACGUACAGGCUGCCGGGAAUACUGCAGAGCUAGGGAGUGGGAGAGGUAGACGGUACUCGGUAGGAAGUGGUAAAAUGCUUUGAUCUAUCGAUGACCACCUGUGGCGGAGGCGGUCUACCAGAACACGUCCGACGGUGAGGGAUGAAAGCUGGGGGAGCAAACCGGAUUAGAUACCCGGGUAGUCCCAGCUGUAAACUAUGCAAACUCAGUGAUGCAUUGGCUUGUGGCCAAUGCAGUGCUGCAGGGAAGCCGUUAAGUUUGCCGCCUGGGAAGUACGUACGCAAGUAUGAAACUUAAAGGAAUUGGCGGGGGAGCACCACAAGGGGUGAAGCCUGCGGUUCAAUUGGAGUCAACGCCAGAAAUCUUACCCGGAGAGACAGCAGGAUGAAGGUCAAGCUGAAGACUUUACCAGACAAGCUGAGAGGUGGUGCAUGGCCGUCGCCAGCUCGUGCCGUGAGAUGUCCUGUUAAGCCAGGUAACGAGCGAGAUCCCUGCCUCUAGUUGCCACCAUUACUCUCAGGAGUAGUGGGGCGAAUUAGCGGGACCGCCGCAGUUAAUGCGGAGGAAGGAAGGGGCCACGGCAGGUCUGUGAUGCCC
Molecule: ribosomal RNA, 705 nt
Filed under: uncultured eukaryote
Lineage: Eukaryota
Description: bacterial SSU rRNA
Rfam family: Archaeal small subunit ribosomal RNA
Source: RNAcentral